Molecule: ribosomal RNA, 312 nt
Filed under: uncultured bacterium
Lineage: Bacteria
Description: bacterial SSU rRNA
Rfam family: Bacterial small subunit ribosomal RNA
Source: RNAcentral
AGAAAGUCACGGCUAACUACGUGCCAGCAGCCGCGGUAAUACGUAGGUGGCAAGCGUUAUCCGGAUUUAGUUGGGCGUAAAGAGAGUGCAGGUCGGUUUUUCUAAGUCUGAUGUGAAAGCCUUCGGCUUAACCGGAGAAGUGCAUCGGAAACUGGAUAACUUGAGUGCAGAAGAGGGUAGUGGAACUCCAUGUGUAGCGGUGGAAUGCGUAGAUAUAUGGAAGAACACCAGUGGCGAAGGCGGCUACCUGGUCUGCAACUGACGCUGAGACUCGAAAGCAUGGGUAGCGAACAGGAUUAGAUACCCUGGUAG